Molecule: ribosomal RNA, 497 nt
Filed under: uncultured bacterium
Lineage: Bacteria
Description: partial 16S ribosomal RNA
Rfam family: Bacterial small subunit ribosomal RNA
Source: RNAcentral
GAUGAACGCUGGCGGCGUGCCUAAUACAUGCAAGUCGAGCGAACGGACGAGAAGCUUGCUUUUCUGAUGUUAGCGGCGGACGGGUGAGUAACACGUGGAUAACCUACCUAUAAGACUGGGAUAACUUCGGGAAACCGGAGCUAAUACCGGAUAAUAUUUUGAACCGCAUGGUUCAAAAGAGAAAGACGGUCUUGCUGUCACUUAUAGAUGGAUCCGCGCUGCAUUAGCUAGUUGGUAAGGUAACGGCUUACCAAGGCAACGAUGCAUAGCCGACCUGAGAGGGUGAUCGGCCACACUGGAACUGAGACACGGUCCAGACUCCUACGGGAGGCAGCAGUAGGGAAUCUUCCGCAAUGGGCGAAAGCCUGACGGAGCAACGCCGCGUGAGUGAUGAAGGUCUUCGGAUCGUAAAACUCUGUUAUUAGGGAAGAACAUAUGUGUAAGUAAAUGUGCACAUCUUGACGGUACCUAAUCAGAAAGCCACGGCUAACUACGUG